AUUGAACGCUGGCGGCAGGCCUAACACAUGCAAGUCGAGCGGACGAAGGGAGCUUGCUCCUGGAUUCAGCGGCGGACGGGCGAGUAAUGCCUAGGAAUCUGCCUGGUAGUGGGGGAUAACGUCCGGAAACGGGCGCUAAUACCGCAUCCGUCCUGAGGGAGAAAGUGGGGGAUCUUCGGACCUCACGCUAUUUGAUGAGCCUAGGUCGGGUUAGCUAGUUGGUGGGGUAAAGGCGUACCAAGGCGACGAUCCGUAACUGGUCUGAGAGGAUGAUCAGUCACACGGGAACUGAGACACGGUCCAGACCCCUACGGGAGGCAGCAGUGGGGAAUAUUGGACAAGGGGCGAAAGCCUGAUCCAGCCAUGCCGGUUGUUUGAAGAAGGUCUUCGGAUUGUAAAGCACUUUAAGUGGGGAGAAAGAACAGUAAGUUAAUACCUUGCUGUUUUGACGUUACCAACAGAAUAAGCACCGGUAAAUUUCGU
This 483-nucleotide ribosomal RNA is filed under the name uncultured bacterium. RNAcentral's name for it is "partial 16S ribosomal RNA". It matches the Rfam family "Bacterial small subunit ribosomal RNA", at positions 30 to 506 of the family's 1533-position model. The record is from RNAcentral.